AGUGAACGCUGGCGGUAUGCCUAACACAUGCAAGUCGAACGGCAGCACAGUAAGAGCUUGCUCUUACGGGUGGCGAGUGGCGGACGGGUGAGGAAUACAUCGGAAUCUACUUUUUCGUGGGGGAUAACGUAGGGAAAGUUACGCUAAUACCGCAUACGUCCUACGGGUUAAAGCAGUGGAUCUUCGGACCUUUCGUGAGUGAAAGAGCCGAUGUCGCAUUAGCUAGUUGGCGGGGUAAAGGCCCACCAAGGCGACGAUCCGUAGCUGGUCUGAGAGGAUGAUCAGCCACACUGGAACUGAGACACGGUCCAGACUCCUACGGGAGGCAGCAGUGGGGAAUAUUGGGCAAUGGGCGCAAGCCUGACCCAGCCAUGCCGCGUGGGUGAAGAAGGCCUUCGGGUUGUAAAGCCCUUUUGUUGGGAAAGAAAAGCCGCAGGUUAAUACACCGCUGUUCUGACGGUACCCAAAGAAUAAGCACCGGCUAACUUCGUG
This 492-nucleotide ribosomal RNA is filed under the name uncultured bacterium. RNAcentral describes it as "partial 16S ribosomal RNA". It matches the Rfam family "Bacterial small subunit ribosomal RNA", at positions 29 to 507 of the family's 1533-position model. The record is from RNAcentral.